GAGGGUAAGCGUCUCUCUUUUCUAGCGCUAAAAAAGAAUAAAGUAAGUAAAGUCUGAUUAUUUGUGUCGGCUGAUUUCCUGCAUGUGUGGUCACAUGGUUCCGGUCCGUCAGUAAACUCAUAUGAUAACAUUAGCUAAAGUUGCACUAAUAUU
Molecule: long non-coding RNA, 153 nt
Organism: Xiphophorus hellerii (green swordtail)
Lineage: Eukaryota; Metazoa; Chordata; Actinopteri; Cyprinodontiformes; Poeciliidae
Exons: 3
Source: RefSeq, a predicted model, not a curated record